This 465-nucleotide ribosomal RNA is filed under the name uncultured bacterium. RNAcentral's name for it is "partial 16S ribosomal RNA". It matches the Rfam family "Bacterial small subunit ribosomal RNA", at positions 28 to 507 of the family's 1533-position model. The record is from RNAcentral.
GAUGAACGCUGGCGGCGUGCUUAACACAUGCAAGUCGAACGGAAAGGCUCCUGCUUGCAGGGGUACUCGAGUGGCGAACGGGUGAGUAACACGUGGGUGAUCUGCCCUGCACUUCGGGAUAAGCCUGGGAAACUGGAUCUAAUACCGGAUAGGACCACAUUUUGGAUGGUGUGGUGGAAAGUUUUUCGGUGUGGGAUGAGCUCGCGGCCUAUCAGCUUGUUGGUGGGGUAAUGGCCUACCAAGGCGUCGACGGGUAGCCGGCCUGAGAGGGUGUACGGCCACAUUGGGACUGAGAUACGGCCCAGACUCCUACGGGAGGCAGCAGUGGGGAAUAUUGCACAAUGGGCGCAAGCCUGAUGCAGCGACGCCGCGUGGGGGAUGACGGCCUUCGGGUUGUAAACUCCUUUCGCUAGGGACGAAGCGCAAGUGACGGUACCUGGAGAAGAAGCACCGGCUAACUACGUG